CUUCUCUUGUUCGUAUCCGUUAAUUCCUUUACACAUUCCCGCCAACAAAUUAAAACAAACAAAUCAGUUAAAACACUGUACUCGGUAUAUCCAAAUACCCAUCA
Molecule: long non-coding RNA, 104 nt
Organism: Quercus lobata
Lineage: Eukaryota; Viridiplantae; Streptophyta; Magnoliopsida; Fagales; Fagaceae
Exons: 3
Source: RefSeq, a predicted model, not a curated record